AAGGAUAAAAAAGAUAAGUAAGGUUAAUUCAGUCAAUUCACAGUUUCAGAAUUAACCAACUAAUGACAGUUAGUUAACUAACUAUCAAGAUUAGGAUGCCUAUAUAUAUAUACUUGUACCUUCGCACUUGUAACUAAUGAUUCAAUAAGAAAAUAUAAUAUGCAUUCUGUUUACUUACUGCCUUCUUCCUCUUCUUCUACUUUCUCUACAACUCUAAUGUUCCAUUGAUUCUCUAGUAAGCUUCCUAUUAAACUCAAUUACCUUCAUGGUAUCAAAGCAUCGAUCCGAUUCAGAGUAGAUCGAAGGUCGAUUGACUGAAAAGCUUUCGCAAAAUUAUCUCAAGAAAGUUUCAAAGACUUGUGUUAAUGGAAACUGUAAAUGAACAUGCAAAUGCAGAUGGGCUUAUAGGGCUCAACAAUGGUGGCCAAGCUCAAGGUUCAUCAUCCAACAAUGGAGGAUUUCCUGCGAAUCCCAAUUCCACACCGCCAAUAAAUCCCAAUUAGGUUCAUGUACGAAAGAGACAAUUUCUGGGGAGUUAUGGGGCCAAUGGGAGAGGGUGAAUGCCAUAGUUCUCUCGUGGUUGCUGAAUUCUGUUUCUAAAAGUAUUCUUGGUGGUCUAGCUUUUUCCUCUAGUGCUUUCAAUGUUUGGACUGAUCUUAAAGAAAGGUUUGAUCAAUUAGAUGGAUCAAGAACCUUUAGCCUACAUAAAGAAAUAGUGACCUUGCAACAAGGAACAAACUCUGUAUCUGUGUAUUACACAAAGCUCAAAACCUUAUGGGAUGAAUUUGAAGCCAUGGUGCUUUCUCCUGGUUGUAACUGUGAAGUUUCAAGAGGUUUUGUUGCUCAUUUGAAUAGACAGAAGUUAUACCAAUUUCUCAUGGGAUUAAAUGAGUCCUUUAACCAGGCAAGAAGUCAAAUAUUAUUAAUGAAUCCAAUUCCUACUGUGAAUCAAGCUUAUGCUAUGAUAAUUAGUGAUGAGUGUCAAAAAUCUGUUGCUUCAAGCUAUACUAACAGUCUUGGAAUGAAUUUUGUGGCAUCAAGUAAUGUGAACUCUUUUGGCAUAUAUUCAAGAACUGGUGGAAACAAGGGGAAUGAGAGUUUUAACUCUGGUCAUACUGGAGGUUAUGCAGGACCUAGUUCCCAGCUUGGGACAAAUGCCAGGUUCAAAAAGAAUUUCAAUGUAAUAUGUGAUUUCUGCAAGUGUAAGGUACAUACCAAGGAUCAGUGCUACAAGUUGGUGGAAUAUCCAACUGGGUUUAAGUCAAAGAAAAAAGUUUAUGUUAGUGGUAAUUCUGGUGCUGCAUAUAAUGUGAUAAACAGUCCAACUAUGUCACGAAAUGAUAGCUUUGUGCAUUCACCACAUGUGUUUAACUAUGGGCUAAACACUAAUGUUCCCAUGUCUCCAAAAGAAAAACAUCUCAUGACAGGUGUUACAAAUGAGGUGGAUAAGUAUGUUAAACGGCUCCAAGGGUGUACAUUUACCAAAGACCAAUAUGAACAGAUUCUUCAGAUACUGAACCAAAGUAACAAUAGUGGCAUGCCUAAAGGAGCUGAUCAUGUCAGUGCAGCUAAUAAUGCUGGUAAGGCUCUCUUAGUUUCUGAGAAUAGUGAGGUUUGGAUCAUUGACACAGGUGCAACAAACCAUAUGGUUUCAAAAAUUGACAUGAUUACUAAAGAUUUCUCGAGAAAAACUGAUAGUUCAAAACAAGUGUGUCUGCCUAAUGGAGAUACUGCACAUAUUACUCAUAUAGGAUCUUGUUGUAUUUCACCAAGGAGUAUUAUUACUAAUGUGCUGCAUCUUCCGGAAUUUAAAUAUAACUUGAUGUCUGUGAGGAAGGUAACAAGAGAGUUAGGAUGUUCAGUUACAUUUUUCCCACACUUUUGUGUUUUUCAGGAACUCUACAGUGGGAAGGUACAGGAGAUUGGUAAGGAAGAUGGAGGAUUAUAUCUACUUUUGAAUAAGCUCAUAUCAAAUCAGUUACAAGAAGAUGCAGUUGCAACAACAAGUAGUGUUCACAACAGACAUGCUAUACAGGAAUCUGAAGUAGAAUUGUGGCACAAGAGGCUUGGACAUGUGUCAUCUAGAGUCUUGAAUAAGUUGUUUUCUUUGGAUAGUCAGGCUGUUAAUAGAUCAGUGAAUAAAUGUACAGUGUGUCCUUCUGCAAAACAGACAAGUGUUGUGUUUCCCAUCAGUACUAUCAAGAGUUUAGAUAGUUUUGACUUGAUUCCUGUUGAUGUUUGGGGCCCUUAUAAAGUAGCUAUAUGUGAUGGUAAUAAGUACUUUCUUACAGUGGUUGAUGACUUCACAAGAAUGACAUGGUUAUUUCUAUUUAAGAGUAAAGCAGAUGUGUGUGUUUCUCUUCAGCAUUUUUUAUACUUUGUCAAGACACAGUUUGGAAAAACAGUUAAGUCUGUAAGGACAGACAAUGGGACUGAAUUUAUUAAUUCUGUGUGUGGCAAACUUUUUAAAGAUAUAGGGAUAAUUCAUCAGAGAACUUAUCCCUAUACCCCUCAGCAAAAUGGAGUUGCUGAAAGGAAGCACAGACAUGUGCUAGAGGUCACUAGAGCCUUGAGGUUUCAAGGUCAUAUUUCUUUAAAGUUUUGGGGUGAGAUGGUGCUUGCUGCAAUAUAUUUGAUCAAUAGAACACCUAGUAAGGUUAUCAAUGAUCUUUCACCUUAUGAGAAGUUGUAUGGAAAGACUCCAUCUAUAAUACAUUUAAGAGUGCUGGGAUGUUUGUGUUUUGCAAAUGUACUGCAAGAGUCUGAUAAAUUAGCUCCAAGAUCUAAAGCUUCUGUACACAUGGGAUACUCAGAGGUUUAGAAAGGCUAUGUGCUAUAUGAUUUAUCUACAAAAACCUUUUUUGUUAGCCGGGAUGUUAUAUUCAAAGAGUCAGUUUUUCCCUUCUCAAGUAUACAUACUGAACAGUCUAAAGCACCCUUUCUAAAUGCUCUGGAUAAUACAGAAAUUAUGUGUGAAAUUGCUCAUCAUCUUCCAUAUGUUCAUCCUACUGAUUCUCAUGAUGCAGCAGAUUCAUCUCCUACUUAUCAUAAUAUGCAAUUUCCUAACGAAGAUAUGACUAACAAUCUUCAGGGUGAGGCAUUGGUACUAGUUCCUGAACCUCAUGAUAUAGUUGAAGCUGAACCUAAUCCUGUGACUAAUAUUUUUCCUACACUUAGAAGGUCUACUAGAGAGUCCCAUCCACCUAUUUGGAUGAAAGAUUUCGUCUCACUCAACAUUAACAAAGAGGUUAAAUAUCCCAUAUCUGCAAAUGUUGCUUAUGAUCACUUAUCUGAUUCUUAUAAAGCAUAUAUUGUGGCUACCUCUUCUCUACUGGAAUCGACUACUUAUGAUGAGGCUGUAAAGGACUCAAGGUGGAUAGAUGCAAUGCAGGAGGAAAUAAAAGCUUUGGAAAGAAAUAACACUUGGGAAUUGACUGAACUACCUGCAGGGAAAAAGCCUAUAAAAUGCAGAUGGAUUUACAAAAUUAAGUACAAAUCAAGUGGAGAGGUUGAAAGAUUCAAAGCAAGAUUGGUUGCUAAAGGAUAUAGCCGAAGGGAAGGAAUAGAUUACACAGAAACUUUUAGUCCAGUUGUUAAAAUGGUCACUGUGAGAACCAUCUUGUCAUUAGCAGUAUCCAAAGGCUGGCACAUCCAUCAAAUGGAUGUAUAUAAUGCUUUCUUACAUGGAGACUUACAUGAUGAAAUAUACAUGAACCUGCCUCAAGGAUUUUCCAGUCAGGGGAAGAAGAGAGUGUGUAGACUGGUAAAAUCACUUUAUGGUCUGAAGCAGGCCCCAAGACAAUGGAAUCACAAGCUUACUCAAGCCUUACUGAAUCUGAAGUUCAAACAGAGUCAACAUGACUACUCAUUAUUCAUUAAGAAAACAGUUGAGGGAACUAUAAUGAUCUUGGUUUAUGUUGAUGACAUGUUGAUUACAGGUAGUAGUUUGAUUCUUAUUGAAGAAACAAAGAAGUCAUUGCAACAAUUUUUUAAAAUGAAAGAUCUCAGAGAGUUAAAGUUUUUUCUUGGCAUUGAGUUUGCCAGGUCCAAAGUUGGAACUGCAAUGCAUCAAAGAAACUAUGCAUUGGAACUUAUAUCAGAAGUUGGUUUAUCCGGUGCUAAACCUGCAGGUACUCCUAUUGAUGUUAAUGUUAAACUUACCUCCAAGCAAUAUGAUGAUCAAACUGGUCAGAACAUGGAAGAUCCUAUGGCUGAUCAAGGUGCAUAUCAAAAAUUAGUUGGUAAAUUAUUGUAUCUCAAUAUUACAAGACCAGAUAUAUCUUAUAGUGUUCAAACUCUGAGCCAGUUUCUGCAGCAACCUAAAAGGUCUCACAUGGAAGCUGCCCUAAGGAUAGUUAAAUAUAUCAAGCAGAAUCCAAGUCAAGAAAUACUGUUAUCUAGUGAGUCAGACAACAUACUUACUGCAUAUUGUGAUGCAGACUGGGCAGCCUGCCCUCUUACAAGGAAAUCUAUCACUGACUACAUUAUUAAGAUGGGAAAUUCUCUAGUGUCUUGGAAGGCAAAGAAACAAACAACCGUUUCAAGAAGCUCAGCUGAAGCUGAGUACAAAAGUUUAGCAACAACUGUGACAGAAUUAGUAUGGUUAGUUGGAUUGCUAACAGAGUUGGACAUGAAGAUCAAGCUGCCUGUUAAAGUAUAUAGUGAUAGCAAAGCAGCCAUUCAACUUGCUGCCAAUCCUGUCUACCAUGAGAGGACAAAGCACAUUGAAAUAGAUUGCCACUUUAUCAGGGAAAAACUACAACAAAAUCUGAUAGAUAUCAACUACAUCUCUACACAACAACAACCUGCAGAUAUUCUCACAAAAGGCCUGAGUAGAGCACAACAUGAGUUUCUAUCAUCCAAGCUAGGAUUACUGAAUAUAUUCACCCCUCCUAGCUUGAGGGGGAGUGUUAAGGCAUGAAGGAUAAAAAAGAUAAGUAAGGUUAAUUCAGUCAAUUCACAGUUUCAAAAUUAACCAACUAAUGACAGUUAGUUAACUAACUAUCAAGAUUAGGAUGCCUAUAUAUAUACUCUUAUACCUUCACACUUGUAACUAAUGAUUCAAUAAGAAAAUAUAAUAUGCAUUCUGUUUACUUACUGUCUUCUUCCUCUUCUUCUACUUUCUCUGCAACUCUAAUGUUCCAUUGAUUCUCUAGUAAGCUUCCUAUUAAAUUCAAUUACCUUCACAUACAGAGAUGCAGCUGAUGAUGAAGAUGAGAAAACUUGUAGUACUAGGAUUUGUGGAGGAAAGGAACGACUUUAUGAUUCUAAUGAUCUGUUUAAAGCGAUUAAUGUACAAUAUGUGAAAGCACUAAAACUUAAAAUUUCAGAUUAAUUCCUCAACAUGGUAUGCAUCACUUGCAGAAAUUUAACUACUUUUGUGCCGAUACUUAUCAAAUCAUAACUGAAGAUCCACCUGAAUGCAACCUUUCCACU
RNAcentral lists this long non-coding RNA (5436 nucleotides) under Capsicum annuum. Its description in RNAcentral is "long non-coding RNA (CANN_LNC009398)". The record is from RNAcentral. Lineage: Eukaryota; Viridiplantae; Streptophyta; Magnoliopsida; Solanales; Solanaceae.